AGUCAUUUGUCACUUUUCUCUUCCUCCCGACAGACUUUCACACUGAAAUAAGCAGACUCCAGCGAGGACAUUCCUAACUAGGCCCCUAAAAUGACACAUCCAACUGAUGAAUACUACAGCAAGUUGGCAGAAGAUCCAAAGCCACAAUCAAGUGACUCCUUUGUCUGAAACUUUAUCAUGCAAACACCCUCACCCGCCCUGGGUGCAUUGCCCCUGCUGUCACGUCCAAGCUUAAAGGAGGCGCAAAUGCAGGAGGCUCCACCCACCAACGCUCACGAAGGGAGACUGGGAACCAAAAACAAAGCGUCGUCACCAAAUGCAGGCAGAGAAACAUGAAGUGAUCCGGUUAGGAGGACUUUUGACUCGCCCGUGUGCUGCUGUCGCCUGACGGGAGCGCUCUGCAGAGAGGCAAAUUAUCAAGCCGCCAACAAGCAGCGCAAGGCCGGCGGCUUGGCUACAAAGAGCAGAAACGGCUUCUGCCUUUCUUACGAUGGUCGCCCUGCCCUGCCUGGAGAGCGUCUGGAUGAAAGAGCUCAGUCGGUGAUUGGGUGAGUCCGUUUUCUAAUAAGCUUUGCAAGGAAGCUCGAAAUGGGACGCAAGGUUGGAAACAUCACAGUUCACGCCUCACACAAUUGUUGGAUAGAAUUUUCAGGAGGAUAGUCGAAUAUUGAAAUAUUCAAUAGCUGGAGCCAUUAUGAACAUGAUUUGCACCCACUGAGCUGGACAAGAGCUGGGGCGACCGCUCGGAGGCACUGCUCUGAAGAUUUCUUAAUCAACCAUCUCAGAGGG
Molecule: long non-coding RNA, 789 nt
Organism: Hippocampus zosterae (dwarf seahorse)
Lineage: Eukaryota; Metazoa; Chordata; Actinopteri; Syngnathiformes; Syngnathidae
Exons: 5
Source: RefSeq, a predicted model, not a curated record